CUAACCUCGAAUUAAGAAAGUGUAACUUACAUUUUCUCUAUGCUUACCUGUGAUGCUCCUGAAUGUCCUGUGUCCCACCUUGAGGAUUGUCUCCCUUUGCUACUUAUGCCAUUGCUGAGCAAUUUCAUUAUCCAGUUGGUUCAGAUGUGGAUGAACUGUAGAUGUAUGCAUACUGCCAGAGGUGCCCUUGGGAAAAGCAACACUAUUUUAAAAACAGUUGAGCCACUGUCAUGCUACUGAAAAAUGUGGUUAAAGUGCAACACAGUACACAAAUAGUGCAGCAAGCCCUUCAGAUAAAAAUAAUAAUAAAAUAAAGUUUAAAUU
Carassius gibelio (silver crucian carp) is the source of this 324-nucleotide long non-coding RNA. RefSeq lists it as uncharacterized. The transcript is spliced from 3 exons. The record is from RefSeq and is a predicted model, not a curated record. Lineage: Eukaryota; Metazoa; Chordata; Actinopteri; Cypriniformes; Cyprinidae.